RNAcentral lists this ribosomal RNA (254 nucleotides) under uncultured bacterium. RNAcentral's name for it is "partial 16S ribosomal RNA". It matches the Rfam family "Bacterial small subunit ribosomal RNA", at positions 524 to 776 of the family's 1533-position model. The record is from RNAcentral.
UACGUAGGGGGCGAGCGUUGUCCGGAUUUAUUGGGCGUAAAAGGCUUGUAGGUGGCCACGUCAAGUCGCGUGUGAAAGCCCCCGGCUCAACUGGGGAGGGUCACGCGAUACUGAUCGACUCGAAGGCAGGAGAGGGUAGUGGAAUUCCCGGUGUAGCGGUGAAAUGCGCAGAUAUCAGGAGGAACACCUGUGGUGUAGACGGCUCUCUGGACAGUAACUGACGCUGAGACACGAAAGCGUGGGUAGCAAACAGG